This is a long non-coding RNA of Poecile atricapillus (Black-capped chickadee), 3952 nucleotides long. RefSeq lists it as uncharacterized. The record is from RefSeq and is a predicted model, not a curated record. The transcript is spliced from 3 exons. NCBI's taxonomy places the organism in Eukaryota, Metazoa, Chordata, Aves, Passeriformes, Paridae.
UCAGCACUAAACCACGUCCCCAAGUACCACAUCCAUACAUUUUUUUUAACUCUUCCAGGGGUGGUGAUUCCACCACUUUCUUGGGCAGCCUGACCAACUUUUCAGUGAACAAAAAGGGUUGGUCCCAUGCCAAUACAUAUUCCAGGAGCUGCUGAGAAGCUGAGAUUCCUGCAAACUUAAAGACAGUCUGAUCCCGGUCUACCUGGCAGCGAUACCAUCCAGCAAAUACCACAUCAUCAUUGACUCGAAGUUUCCCAUUCACAUCAAAAGCUGAGUUUAUCAGAGCCUGUGAUUCUUUGCAGCUGAAGACAUUCACCAAGGUGAUGUGUUUAUGUCUGGAUUUAACGAGUCCCUCAACAGAGGUGCUCCUCACUGUCACACUGUGGAUCAAACAAUGUCAGUGAUUCUGGAAGAGCUACUUACUUGGUCUCUCUCUCACUGCUUCAAUAGCUGUCACCUGCCUGCAUGAGCUGGGGAAGAGUGGGAUCUUUGAUACAGAUAUGAAAUAACAAUGUGCGCUAAUAUCUACAUAUGGUUUCUACUUGAAAGUUUAAAAAGUCAUUUGUUACUGUGAUACUAAAGUAUACUCCUCUUUGAUGCAAGACGUUUGUUAUCUAGUGGUUUCAACCACUGGAACCACACAUCUCUUUACACUGCUCAGCACAAAAGUCACUUACAAAUGUUUCUGAGUGUUUUGUUAAAGCACAACAUAGUAAGGCUUUGAUCAGGUAAGAUGCUUAAGCAGCAAGUUUAAGCACACAAGUAAUCCCAGUGAAGUCCCAAGGAUCCAUUCACAUGCUUAAAUCCAUGCUCUCUUUGGCAGGUCAAAACUUAAAAUAAUCAGGCUACAGCUUGUAACUCAAACCCUUGUCUGUACAGACAAGUAAGGCAACACAAAAAUACAUUUUAAAAAAUAUAAUAGAAGGCUGGAAAAAAAUAUUCUUUCUAGCAGUUAAUUGGGAAACAGAACCUUUAAAGAAAUAAAAAGAAGAAAAGUUUAAAAGUCAGCAGAGGAAAAAAAGAAACUGAUGCAGACUCCAGUUUUACAUUGCCACUCCUGAUAAAGACAUUGUGUGUCAGUCCAAGGAAGGAGAAAUAAGAAGGAAGAAAGUGGUGUUACUUCCUUCUCACAUCUUUGCAAGAAGAUGAUAAAAAGAGUCCGACACAUCUUGUGUAUCAGCAUCUGGCUAACAGAUUUAGACAUCUGUCUACAUGACUGGCAAAUUUCUCAAGCCUUUUCAAGUCUCCAGUAAUUAGAGAAGAGACUCAUGCAUUUGCUGCACUGAACGGCCUGCAGCCCUUUGGUACAUACUGGCCAAUGAAACAUGGUAAGAAAUGAUGGAAUGUCCAUAUACAAAGUUUACAAAAACCUCCCCUUCAAAGUAAAUAUCCCAGCAGCAUGAGUUUAUCUUUUAUGGGGAAGAUAAUUACAACAGAUGUAAAACAGAAUAGGCUUCUGAUAUGAAAAACAAAUCAAAGCAAAUCAGCUACAUUUAAAUUUGGGAAUUGCUGGUAUCUCCGUAUAAAGGACGAGAUUCAUAGUCUUGCCAUAGCACUUAACAAAGAGGGAAAUAGUCCCCCUAGUGUACUCUCCAUGUAGAAAAGACUGUUUCACAAGAUAGUGCUGCAAGAAAUUACUAAAUAACAUUGUGGGAAGAGGUAUGGAAUUACUUAAACUGUAGUGAAACCAGGCACCUCUACUACAUACAUGUAAAAAAAAUGAAAAGUUUUUAUAGUUUCCUAUUUCAAGAUUAUUGAGGGAAGUGAGUGCUUCACCCGAAAUACUUGUGAGGUAAAACUUGGUUUUUAAGUCAGCACACUAGUUUUGUGACUGCAGGACUUUGAUUGGGUAACAGAUACCUGAAUGAGGAAAGAUCUAGUCAUCGAGGAGCUCUGUAGAAGUACCUGGAACAGUCACAUUUCACAAGGGUGAAACCAGCUCACCCUGGCAUCUCUUCCUCCCUCCAGUGAUGACGAACGUAAAUACCAACCUUCCCUAAGUAUUCAAGACAGAAGCAGACAUUGGAACAUGCAUGGAAACCCUCUCCAGUACUUGGAAGUGUACAGGACUGUACCAGCCGGGGCUGUCCGUGGCACACCGGCGUGUCCGGAGUGCGGCAGCUCUGCAGCACUGCACCGUACACUACUGCCCUCGUUAGCUUCAGGCACUGUUAGGUUAGCCAACAUCCCACCAGGGCCAGGGGGAAGCAAAGGAGAUUGUUGGCGGGGUGUAUUGGGCAAACCUUAUCCGAAUUACCAGAAAUGUAAUAUACAUUUUCCUAACCACAUCUGAAAUACUCACUUCUGCUUUAAUGCCCUAGGCAGGGAAAAAAAAAAAGUGAUAGUUGUAACUUUAAUUUAUAGCUCUUAAAAUAAUUAUUUGAAGAGAAUAAUCCCAGCUACGUUUACGGAUUAUGGUCUUCGGCACAUCUCACUGAAAACAGUAUUAAUAUUUUAUAGAUAAUAGUACAUAAAGUAAUAAGACUAAGUCCUCUUCUUCCCUUUGUUUAAAAUAACAAUUUUCCCACUCAGUGGAAAAGCAGAAUAUUGUUAAAUGGGCUUGCUGCCUUCAACGAUGAAUUUAGCUGUGUAAAAAUAUUCUAAAUUAAGAUAAAAGCCUUCUAACACAGAACUAUCUUCUGUUCAUUUAAAGUCUUGGUGUAACUAGCAAUCUGAAGAAGCCUAAUGUGAAAAGCUGACAUUAGUUCCUGAAGAGUUGUAUUCAUUACCUGUGAAGCAAACAAAGAUGGUAAUAACAUAUAAUGUGUUUUAACAUCAGGAGACUAAGAUGGAGUCCCCAUAUAAGAGUGUUGCCUCUGCACAAACUAAGCUACUCUCUAGCCAAGAAAUUGAAGUAGUCCACUUCUGAAUGUAUAUGCACUUGAAAAAGAAAUCCUAGCCUUGCUAAGGAAUUACAUUUUCCAGUUUAAGAUGCCUGGCACAUUAUUAGUUCCUGACCUCCCCUCUGCCCCUUCCAGUAUGCCCCUACCACCCACGCACAACUGCACCCACUGUUAACGCGACCGAAUGUCUUACCCUAACUUCAGAGACACUUCACAAUCAUUAGUGCAGAAUUUGCUGCUACCAGUGUGCCUGUAACUCCUGAGAAAGGUCAUCCUAAAGGUUUGUGAGUAACUUCUGAACUAAAUUAUACCAGAAGAAUCUCAAGAGAUCCAAGUUUUUAACAUUUUAAUUAGCUCCAAGUACCAGCUAAUGCUGCUCAGCGAAAGAAUCGAUAUCAAAUUAACGGUAUAAAUUGUCAGAAAAAUUGUGAUGGUAUUAAGGAUACUAAUCAAUGUAAGCACUUCAUGUUAUGGCCCAGAUUCUGCUUCUGCUACAGUGAAAAAGAGUUUUGCCACCAAAACAGUGUCAGGCCCAUUGUUAGGUCAGUCUUUGUUUGAAUUAGAUACUGAGAAUUUACUGAAAAUUCAAAGUACCCGAUAGAAAUGCUGGAUAUGUCAUAGCAGCUGACAUCUAAAGCCACUGCCUCUAUGUGAAACCAAACAACUUACGAAGGCACAGGCUGUCAUUGGAAGAUGUAACCCUUUAUCACACUCUGCGUCACACUUGAAAAGUCAGAUCAAAAUUCAACACCUAAUACAGACACAAAAGCUGUAAAAAAGAUGUGUGCUUUUAAAAGCCUUGUCUUCAACUAGCUAUGCCAGCGAUAAACUUUGUGUUUGUAUUUUCUCCAGACUGAGACAAGUCUGUCAACUACUGUGCUUCAUUUGGAAGGUAAAAAUCAUACAGCCGCACUUCAAUUCCUAGCAGCAAGUCCUACUCAGGCACCAAAAUACAGGACAGGGCUGCUAGUACAGAAACUGCCAGAAAUGUUUAAUCUAUAUAGUAUUUCUGACCAAUUUGUAUACUGAAAGUUAUCACCUGAUCCAAACCUAGAUAGACUCAAAGAGAAAAUUUAAUUUCUCUGUAAAAGCAUUGAACUUGCCGGCAA